RNAcentral lists this ribosomal RNA (403 nucleotides) under Verrucomicrobiota bacterium. Its description in RNAcentral is "Verrucomicrobia bacterium partial 16S ribosomal RNA". It matches the Rfam family "Bacterial small subunit ribosomal RNA", at positions 355 to 776 of the family's 1533-position model. The record is from RNAcentral. Lineage: Bacteria; Pseudomonadati; Verrucomicrobiota.
UGGGGAAUAUUGCACAAUGGGCGCAAGCCUGAUGCAGCAACGCCGCGUGAACGAUGAAGGUCUUCGGAUCGUAAAGUUCUGUUGCAGGGGAAGAUAAUGACGGUACCCUGUGAGGAAGCCCCGGCUAACUACGUGCCAGCAGCCGCGGUAAUACGUAGGGGGCUAGCGUUAUCCGGAUUUACUGGGCGUAAAGGGUGCGUUGGUGGUCUUUCAAGUCGGUGGUUAAAGGCUACGGCUCAACCGUGGUUAGCCCCCGAAACUGGAAGACUUGGGUGCAGGAGAGGAAAGUGGAAUUCCCAGUGUAGCGGUGAAAUGCGUAGAUAUUGGGAGGAACACCAGUAGCGAAGGCGGCUUUCUGGACGGCAACUGACACUGAGGCACGAAAGAGUGGGUAGCAAACAGG